Molecule: ribosomal RNA, 207 nt
Filed under: Escherichia coli
Lineage: Bacteria; Pseudomonadati; Pseudomonadota; Gammaproteobacteria; Enterobacterales; Enterobacteriaceae
Description: partial 16S ribosomal RNA
Rfam family: Bacterial small subunit ribosomal RNA
Source: RNAcentral
AAAUUGAAGAGUUUGAUCAUGGCUCAGAUUGAACGCUGGCGGCAGGCCUAACACAUGCAAGUCGAACGGUAACAGGAAGCAGCUUGCUGCUUUGCUGACGAGUGGCGGACGGGUGAGUAAUGUCUGGGAAACUGCCUGAUGGAGGGGGAUAACUACUGGAAACGGUAGCUAAUACCGCAUAAUGUCGCAAGACCAAAGAGGGGGACC